GUCUUUCUGGAUUUAAAUAGUAAGUCUAUUCUGCCCCCUGAAGUUUUUAAAUGGCCGCAGUAUAUUAACUGUGCAAAGGUAGCAUAAUCAUUAGUUUUUUAAUUGGAGACUUGUAUGAAUGAUUGGACGAGAUAUAAACUGUUUCAGAAAAAAUUUUUAGAAUUUUAUUUUUUAGUUAAAAAGCUAAAAUUUUAUUAAAAGACGAGAAGACCCUAUAGAUCUUUAUUAAUUAUUUAUUAUUGUUUUUGAAGUCUUGUUUUAUAAUAAUAAUUUUAUUAAUUUUGUUGGGGUGACAUUGAAAUUUAUUUAACUUUUAAUUAGUUAAUACAUUAAUUUAUGAAUUUAUGAUCCUAUAUUAUUGAUUAAAAAUUUAAGUUACCUUAGGGAUAACAGCGUAAUUAUUUUGGAGAGUUCAUAUCGAUAAAAUAGAUUGCGACCUCGAUGUUGGAUUAAGAUUAAUUUUGGGCGUAGCCGUUCAUAGUAUUAAGUCUGUUCGACUUUUAAUUUCUU
RNAcentral lists this ribosomal RNA (510 nucleotides) under Medetera lorea. Its description in RNAcentral is "partial 16S ribosomal RNA". It matches the Rfam family "Bacterial large subunit ribosomal RNA", at positions 1829 to 2597 of the family's 2925-position model. The record is from RNAcentral. Lineage: Eukaryota; Metazoa; Arthropoda; Insecta; Diptera; Dolichopodidae.